RNAcentral lists this ribosomal RNA (806 nucleotides) under Phyllopsora dolichospora. RNAcentral's name for it is "SSU rRNA". It matches the Rfam family "Bacterial small subunit ribosomal RNA", at positions 370 to 1210 of the family's 1533-position model. The record is from RNAcentral. Lineage: Eukaryota; Fungi; Ascomycota; Lecanoromycetes; Lecanorales; Ramalinaceae.
AAUAGCCUAAUGGCUGAACCAGCAACUUGGAGGAAUGAAUAGCAAUAGCUAAUUGUACAUAUAUAUGAUGCAAUAUCGACUCAGUCGAAUAAAAUUCUGGCUAGAAUUAUGAUAAUGACAUUGUCUAGUCACGUGUCUUGACCAAAUUACGUGCCAGCAGUCGCGGUAAUACGUAAAAGACUAGUGUUAUUCAUCUUUAAUUGGUUUAAAGGGUACUCAGACAGUAAAUCAAACCUUUGCUUUGCAAGAUGGAAUUAAUUUACUAGAGUUACUUACGCGGGGGUUUUAAAGUACUAAUGGUGUAGAGAUAAAAUUUUGUAAUACCAUUUUUCGAAAGAAAAGUUAUGGCACUGAUAAAGGCGAAAGCAUCCCCUUAUGUGAUAACUGACGUUGAAAGACGAAGGCUUUGGAUCGCAAAUAGGAUUAGAUACCCUAGUAGUCUAAGCAGAGAAUUAUGAGUGUCAUAGAUUAGAAAUUAAUUUUAUUCUAUAAAUAAAAGUGUAAGCACUCCACCUCAAGAGUAAUUUGGCAACAUUGGAACUGAAAUCAUUAGACCGUUUCUGAAACCAGUAGUGAAGUAUGUUGUUUAAUUUGAUAGUCCGCAAAAAACCUUACCACAGCUUGAAUAUUUAUAUUUUUGAUAUAUUUACAAGCGUUGCACGGCUGUCUUCAGUUAAUGUCGUGAGAUUUUGGUUAGAUCCAUUAAAUUAACGCAAGCCCUUACUUUAUUUAUAAAUAAAGUAGUUCCCCGCUAUAUUGGAUAUGAUAUCAGGGAUUAAGAUAAGUCAUCAUGGCCUGAAUGCUGU